This 253-nucleotide long non-coding RNA is filed under the name Brassica rapa (field mustard). RNAcentral describes it as "long non-coding RNA (BRAP_LNC001815)". Lineage: Eukaryota; Viridiplantae; Streptophyta; Magnoliopsida; Brassicales; Brassicaceae. The record is from RNAcentral.
UGAAAGGUCUGCCAAAUAUUAACUGCAAUUAUUCUUAGAAAAAUUAUUUUUUUGACGGGGUAAAUUUGAUCUAAUGUAUAGUACUAUAUGAAAUAAAUCAUUCAUUUUUACCAAAAAAAAUAUUCGUAAGGAAUAUAACGUUUAAACCGUUGUCACAUAUAGAGCAUGGAUGGAAAAUAUCAAAAUAUAAAGUAAAUAAGAGGAAAAGAAAAAAGAUGAAAAUGAAAAGAAAAAAAUGAGAGAGAGAAUAAAC